RNAcentral lists this long non-coding RNA (3090 nucleotides) under Xyrichtys novacula (pearly razorfish). Lineage: Eukaryota; Metazoa; Chordata; Actinopteri; Labriformes; Labridae. The record is from RNAcentral.
GAUUGACUUGGGAGAGUUUGCAGUUUUAACUUUUUAAGAAACUUUAUCAUGUUUUUUUUUUUCUUCCCUCAAAAUUGUGAGUUAAUUGCAAGAAAAUGUGCGUCAUUUACAGGUUUAAACCACUCAAGUAACCACCAACCACCUGAGGAGCAGGAGGGUGGUUGGACCAUCGACAUUCAUGUUUGUAUUAAGUGUGUGAGACACAAUGAGAGGCAGGAUGACAAAGACAGUAUGAGUCAAGACUACAGGCACUCCUUAUUUUUAUAGAUCUAAGAUUUAUAUUAUUUUCACAAAACCAAAUGGUAUAAUCGCACCUUGCCUAUUGUGCUUGGAGUGUAAUCGCCUAUCUCACACCUGAAAAAAUAAACCCUUUUAGACAGUCAACAACAACAACAGCUCUGAAACUGUAGAAUGCUAAACAAUGGCUGAUUUCCGCACGAGUUAAACAGAGACUUAGAUUUCAACUAACCUACAGGACUUAAGGUAAGAAAUGCCUCAGAGAACAGUCCAAACUGAGCAUUUGCAGUUUGUGCUCCACAGCUGUGAACUCUCUGCUUAAAGAUGUCAAACAAACUCAGUGUCCUUUAUGCCACUUUUACCAGACACAGCCCACAAACUACUUCAGUUCCUCUUCUUAUUUCUUGCUCUUGAAAUACUGCGAAACUAUGUCUAGCUACAACGCUUCCCCUCUGUAAAGCACUAUAGUAUCAUGGCAGGCGCUAUGACUGCCACCACAGAUAGAUUCUGGGGGAAACACUGCAGACACAAUACAUAACAAGCUCGUUGGCUAAUACAAAAUGUCAAAACUCAAGUGAGGAACUUUUGGUUUUUGUAAACUCUGGCGCCUCUUGUGGACAAAGGAAUCUUUGCUGAUUUUGUCUUCUCCAUGCUUAAGUAGUCACCUGGUGGACCCUACUUCACCCUACCGGUGAGCUGGAAUACAUCACUCAUAAUAAAACCGCUGAUGAGUAUGUGACGAAAUGAUGAUAGGAUGAAAAUGGUGGCUUGUUGGACAUUUAAGUUCAUCAUAGUUUACCCACUUUGGUGUGGCACAUCUGUCAAAAUACAAGCAAUGCAUUCCUGGUCAUUGAUCCUGUUUAUCACAGGGAAAUAUCAUCUAUCUCCAUGCUACUUUCUUGUUUUCAUUCAUAAUUUUAUCCCACAUUAGAUAUGAUAAACUCUAAAUCAUCAGACAGAGAUGCAGCUGAGAGUAAAGGGAAGUGAGUUCGAAGGACACUGGAGGCCAGGCCUGGACCUCCUAGAAGUCAAACCAAAUAAAUACAACCACAGAAAAUGUGUUUUGCAGAAGGACAAAAAAUUCAUGCAUAUUAACAACCAACUAAAUCCAAUAGUUUAGAAAAAUCAAAAUUCCAAUAUUUAAAGUCUGGAUGGAUACAUACUCUUUUUGAUGCAGGAUCCUGUGUAGCAUACAGUAGUGUGUCAGCUUUACAAAUCUUGGUUUCCAGCAGUUUAAACACACAUACCUCUCUGGUCACUGACGUUACAUGAAUGAGUACCUGAUGAUCUAACGUUUACCUGAAUCCCCUUCAGCUGAAUUCUGUCUGACACCGAUUCCCACUCCCUGCUGAGUCCAGAUCCUCUGACAAACUCAGAAGUCUGACAGUCCUCACCUUUUAUACAUAAAACCUGUCUACAAAGUCAGUCAUGUUCCCGGCGUCACACACUGAAGCUGGUUCAGAGGAGUCUUUUGUCCCUGAAAUUAAAUUUGUCCUUUAAUGACAGUGACGAAGAAUUUCUGAUCAUCCUACACAGCUUGAUAAGGUGAGAUGACGUCUCGCAGCUCAAACUGAUUCAGAAGCUGUAAUUAUCCUGCAACAACUGAAUGAAUUGCCAACCCUUCAAAAAGGCAAGGGCACUCAGCAGAAAGAAGAUGGCUGCUGAUUUAUGAAUAUAGUGAACGGCUCUGAAUCAACAGUGAAAUAAUCAGUUGGAGAGACGUGCUUAAUGUGCGCAAUCUAAAUAAAACCAGCAAGCUUCUCUUCAGCCUGAAUGUAGCUGCAGUGACUCAAAUAUCUCUUUUCACAACAAAAUGAGACAGGGGUGUAUUUUUUGGUGCCAGUGUGUGGAUUGAUGUUUGAAUUCUGUCAUUAAAAUUUCAUGCACCUCACGCACAACGCAGAGCAAAUGUUGACACCACGCUCUACCAAAGGAGGAGGAGGCAUGCAAGAAACAGGUCCUCCCUUGAGUGACAGGGAAGAAUUUAUUUAUUUAUUUAUUUGACAAUGAGAUGGAAGAAAAACACAAUCAGGGGUUGUUUUAGCGGAGACCUGACCAGCGGAGACCUGACACACACACACACACACACACACACACACACACAUACAUACAGACACACGUCUAACAUGCACCGUCUCACAAAGCUGAUCGUGCUCUUCUUCUAUGAUGGUCUUUACCAGCUAGGUCUCCACCAAGCGUAAAGGUCAUUUGCCUUUUUCUUCCUGGGAAAGUACCAACCAUGUUCCAAGUCGGCUGUCUCACUGGUUGAUUGGCACAAAGAUCGUCUUCAGGGAAUGUGUCAAAGACACGAACAUAGAGCUGUAAGAAAAACAACACUGUGGGAUGUCUAAAUGAACAAUAACGAUAGCUUUAAAUGUGUUGCGUCAAAGUCAACAAAAGUGAGCAGUGGCAUCAACUCUUAGCCACACUUUGCAGAUCUAAGUCACUCUUUUUGGUAAAUCUCUCAACACAUCUACACUCUUUGAAAUCUGUGUCAGACACAUGUUGAAGCACAAUGGUAAUCACAUGGGUAAGAACUCAAACACAAGCACAGCACAAGUGUCACAGUUACGUACUACAACUCAAAACUAAAACACUCCUUGCUAAUGGCCUGAUGACACUAAUACCACUUAGAGACCCAUUCUGAUGACAAUCAUGUUUUUCUUGUUGUCCACAUGGUCAUAUGGCAUUUUUCUGAUGCUACAGGAUAUAUCGUGAGAAAACUAAGUGAAAUUGCAUUUCUGUGUAUUUCUGCAUUCAAAUCACUGUGAAUCUCUGACGGACCCAAAUGGCAGGUUUAGAAACAGUGAACCUUCCUGUGUCACAACUCCAAGCUCCAUCCCCAGAGCCCCA